AUGGUAACCAGCAGACAGACCUGAGAGAAGCAAGGCUGCAGAGAAACUGUAGCCAUCACCAAACAACAAAUCAAAGGGAAGUGUCUCAGGAGAGAUUUCUAAUUAUCAUACAUUUGUCCUUGCAGCCAAACCAGGAUGCAGUGGAAAAUGGUGCCUUUGGCACUAGCAUCUUAGGUCACAAAAUCAGUUGUCUUGAAAUUCUUACUAACUUUUGAACGUGGAACCCUACAUCUUCAUUUUGUACUGGUCCCCACAUAUUUUAUAGCUAAUCUGAAGGAGGAGAGAGAGAUGAUGGGGGAUGAAGGGUAUGGGAUUGUAUGCUAUGGCUGCCUGCUGUCAAAGUUCUCCAGCCUCCCAAAUGUCCACAUAGAUAGUAUCAACCCUCAAUGCAAAUUAUAAGAAUGUUAUAUUAAAAUGUAAUAAAAAGUGACCAAGCUGAUCUAAACCCCACAACAGCAUGAAUAGUUUCCAUUUAUCUAGCAUUUAGUUCACUCCUAAAUG
Molecule: long non-coding RNA, 501 nt
Organism: Pan troglodytes (chimpanzee)
Lineage: Eukaryota; Metazoa; Chordata; Mammalia; Primates; Hominidae
Exons: 3
Source: RefSeq, a predicted model, not a curated record